AAUUUCCUUUGUACACCAUGGAUAAGGCUUCGAUGACUUUGCUUUUCCUAGCCACCUUAUUGAUCUUUUCAUGUGGUUAGUCUCUCUCUCCCUCCUAGGUCUCUCUUACUCAAUAGCCUCUAUGGCUAAAUUUUCAAACUUUUCUUAAUUUGAAAGUGGAUAUUGUUAAAAAUAUUUUUGGUCAAUAAUAAUUUAUUGUUGGCUAAUCAAUUUAAAACAAUUUUGCCAAUAUUAGACCAGUAAUUUGUAUUUGUCAAGGUUCCAAACGUGAUUUUAGUGAAAACUAAUUUUUUUUUAUUUUGAAAAGUGAAUUAUGCUAUUACUCAAAAGCACUUAAUUUUUUCCCUAAAAGAUUUACGAAACACCUAACUCUUUAAAAUAAGCACUUUUAAAAAAAAUUAGCACUUUUUGCUUUCCAUAAGCUUUGCAUUGCCAAUGGCAGGUGCGCUCGCACUCAGUAUUUUAUUUUCAAUCAGACCAUAAAAUAAUGGUGUAAUAUUCUUUUUAGAAUGUAUAAACAAUUAAUUGUAUGUGCUCUGAAUAUACUGACAUAGGUCUACCUCAAUCAUACAAAUACUUUUAAUAUCUCAUGAAUUAUGUUUUCUCUUGAAAUAUGCUUGUGCUAAUAAAUUUUUAAUCCACAGAUGCUGUAAUGGGAGAGGGACAGCACUGUGUUUUCGUAAAUGAUUGUCCUUUUAGAUGCAGAAUUGGAAUUCGCCAAUGUGUUAAUGGCGUUUGUAAGUGUUGUUUUUCCGAAUCAUGCUCUGCUGAUGAAGAAAGCAUUGACCUCGGUCGCAAAAUAUUGACUUUCGAAGACUCUUCGUAGUUGUUAAAAGCUAUUGGAAUUUGUUCACGUGAAUCUAAUGCCUAAUUAUUGGCUAAUGAAGAUUAAGUUCUAAUUAAAGUGUAU
RNAcentral lists this long non-coding RNA (910 nucleotides) under Nicotiana tabacum (common tobacco). RNAcentral's name for it is "long non-coding RNA (NTAB_LNC012634)". The record is from RNAcentral. Lineage: Eukaryota; Viridiplantae; Streptophyta; Magnoliopsida; Solanales; Solanaceae.